Molecule: ribosomal RNA, 433 nt
Filed under: uncultured bacterium
Lineage: Bacteria
Description: partial 16S ribosomal RNA
Rfam family: Bacterial small subunit ribosomal RNA
Source: RNAcentral
AACGAACGCUGGCGACAGGCCUAACACAUGCAAGUCGAGCGCGCCCUUCGGGGUGAGCGGCGGACGGGUGAGUAACGCGUGGGAACGUGCCCUUUUCUACGGAAUAGCCUCGGGAAACUGAGAGUAAUACCGUAUACGCCCUUUGGGGGAAAGAUUUAUCGGAAAAGGAUCGGCCCGCGUUGGAUUAGGUAGUUGGUGGGGUAAUGGCCUACCAAGCCGACGAUCCAUAGCUGGUUUGAGAGGAUGAUCAGCCACACUGGGACUGAGACACGGCCCAGACUCCUACGGGAGGCAGCAGUGGGGAAUCUUAGACAAUGGGGGCAACCCUGAUCUAGCCAUGCCGCGUGAGUGAUGAAGGCCUUAGGGUUGUAAAGCUCUUUCAGCUGGGAAGAUAAUGACGGUACCAGCAGAAGAAGCCCCGGCUAACUCCGUG